UCCAGACUCCUACGGGAGGCAGCAGUGAGGAAUAUUGGCCAAUGGGCGCGAGCAUGAACCAGCCAAGUCGCGUGAGGGAUGACGGUCCUACGGAUUGUAAACCUCUUUUGCCGGGGAGCAAGCGUGCGUUCGUGAACGCGCGUCGAGAGUACCCGGAGAAAAAGCAUCGGCUAACUCCGUGCCAGCAGCCGCGGUAAUACGGAGGAUGCGAGCGUUAUCCGGAUUUAUUGGGUUUAAAGGGUGCGUAGGCGGAAUGCCAAGUCAGGGGUAAAAUCGGUGGGCUCAACCUCGCUCCGCCGUUGAAACUGGCGUUCUUGAGUGGGCGAGAAGUAUGCGGAAUGCGUGGUGUAGCGGUGAAAUGCAUAG
This 366-nucleotide ribosomal RNA is filed under the name uncultured bacterium. RNAcentral describes it as "bacterial SSU rRNA". It matches the Rfam family "Bacterial small subunit ribosomal RNA", at positions 330 to 693 of the family's 1533-position model. The record is from RNAcentral.